CGCUUCUCAAUGCAGGACGUGGGAGGGACGCAAACUUUGUAAACAGGAAUAGGUGCAUCACUGGUCACUGAGCUGGCAAGCUAAAGUUAGCUAGUUAGUCACAGUUAGUACCUUCAACCUGUUAAUUAUUUAUCUCACGAAGUCAGCAUCGCUUAACAUAGUUUAUUUUGUUUUUGACCUCGCGAUUGUUGCUGGAUAGGUACUUUCAUCUCUAACAUGCUGGCGAUGCUAGCUAACCUCGUAUCAGGAUGCCUCGAUCUAGUCCGAUUUGAUUUAUCUUACGAAGUAAGCAUGGCUUAACAUGUUUUCUUUCGUUUUUGACCUCGACAUUGUUGUUGGAUAGAUACUUUCAUAUCUAACAUGCUAGCUAAUCUCAUAUCUGGAUGCCUCACUCUAGUUCCCGAGAGAGCAGCAUACUGGCGCCCCGUUCCCAAACCUGAAGCCCCCUGUUUCCGAGCAGGAAAGACCAGGAACAAAGUGUUGGCUUAAGAUCUGCCAACCUGCUUGGUGGGUGACAGGUAACCAUCUUUCCACCAAGCUAUUCCAGGCCUGGAGUGGCACGCUGGACCUUCCAGAGGCUUGUAGACCGUAAGCGGUGUGAUGUGGUCCAGAUCUGCCAUGCACUCCACCACUGCCUGACAGCCUCACCCAGAAGUGCAUACACUGGGCCUAUCAAGACUGACAAAGCAGAGAUGGGUGGCUGACAAGAAAAAAUAAAACAUAUAUACACACCACUCAUUAUCCACAAUGUAAAUAAGUUGUAAUUACUUGUUUAUUUUAUGUAUGCUCCAUUUUAUUUGAGGAUUGAAGAUAUUGAUAAUGUCUAGAUAUCUGCAUAAUUACUCUAAAUAUCUAUCAAAUCAAAGUGUGAUUAAGCAAAAGUCUUUUACAAUAUUAUUAAUCGCACUUUGAUUUGAUAGAUAUUUAGAGUAAUUAUGCAGAUAUUGAUAAUGGAUAGAUAUCUUCAAACCUCAUAAAAUGGAGCAUAGACAAAAUAAACAAGUUAUUACAAUUUGUUUACAUUGGGUCUAAUGUGUGUGUGAGAGAGCGAGGCACGUUUUUCAACUCAGGAAAAAAAGCACACAGAAUUUCCUAAAACUGUAC
Molecule: long non-coding RNA, 1104 nt
Organism: Salmo salar (Atlantic salmon)
Lineage: Eukaryota; Metazoa; Chordata; Actinopteri; Salmoniformes; Salmonidae
Source: RefSeq, a predicted model, not a curated record